RNAcentral lists this ribosomal RNA (207 nucleotides) under uncultured bacterium. RNAcentral describes it as "partial 16S ribosomal RNA". It matches the Rfam family "Bacterial small subunit ribosomal RNA", at positions 568 to 774 of the family's 1533-position model. The record is from RNAcentral.
CGUGCAGGCGGUCUUGUAAGUCGUGUGUGAAAGCGCUCAGGCUCAACCGGGCGAGGACAUGCGAAACUGCGGGGCUUGAGGUAGGUAGAGGCGUGUGGAAUUCCGGGUGUAGUGGUGAAAUGCGUAGAGAUCCGGAGGAACACCAGUGGCGAAGGCGACACGCUGGACCUGACCUGACGCUAAGCGCGAAAGCAUGGGGAGCGAACG